This 935-nucleotide ribosomal RNA is filed under the name Tegonotus albus. Its description in RNAcentral is "partial 28S ribosomal RNA". It matches the Rfam family "Eukaryotic large subunit ribosomal RNA", at positions 366 to 944 of the family's 3401-position model. Lineage: Eukaryota; Metazoa; Arthropoda; Arachnida; Trombidiformes; Eriophyidae. The record is from RNAcentral.
AAAUAGAACUUUGCAGAGAGAGUUAACAGGGCGUGAAACCGUUAAUUGAGAAACGAAUCGGAGCCACGAAGUCGUUUCGUUGUUUAGUUGGGCAAGGUUCAGCUUGCGAGCUCAAACUCGCGGGUGUAUUCUUGUGUCUGGCCAAACUUUGUAAGCGUACACUGCAACCAGUUAAACGAUUAACCAUGGGCCCAGUUGUUCGGCUAGGUAACUAGCCUGUUCAACGCAGCAUUUGUUUGCUCGAGUUAGUAGUAGCGCGGUGCAUUUCGGUGCAUUUCGUGUUGCUGGGCUCGUGGCAAGUGAACUAUGGUUAAAUACUGACUGGCAAAAUGAAAAUCGCCUCUUUAGGCGUAACACAAAAUGCAGUUAACUGCAUAGACGUCUACACAUUAGACUACUGGGUCUAAGCUCAGCGUUUUUGAAUUUGGACUUGCUUGCUACCAGUGGGGCAACCCCUGGUGCUUGUAUAGCUUUCAUCUAAUCGGGCGUUGACUUGGCUCUUUAUCGUUCUGGUGUGCUACGAUCGGAUGUUUAUGUAAGCUAAUUCGCAAUUAAUUGGCAGUGAGUAGGUCGGCUUUCCGAACGACCCGUCUUGAAACACGGACCAAGGAGUCUAAUUAGGCAUCGAGUCGAUCGGUCUUGAAUAGGCCAGACUAGUGCGAGCAAUCGUGCUGAACGAAGGCGUAGAGAAAUCAAAUCGUGUGAUCAUGGGAGCAACAACAGCUCUUAUGCGCAACAUGUGCCUGUUCGUAUAGCAAUGUUAGCAAUAACUUGCUGAGCGGAGCAAAGAGAUACCUGAUUGGGACCCGAAAGAUGGUGAACUAUGCUUGGGCAAAUUGAAGCCAGAGGAAACUCUGGUGGAGGAUUGUAGCGAUUCUGACGUGCAAAUCGAUCGUCAGACCUGAGUAUAGGGGCGAAAGACUAAUCGAACCAUC